UUAUCGAAUUUUGAUUUCGAGGAGAAAGGGCAUCGAUUGUCGCUGGCUGGCUUUUCAGCAUGUGCACAUCUAUGCUUUCUCACCUCGUCUCAUAUCCCACACACCUGUGCACCUAUUGUANGUCCUCGAAAGAGGAUCUAUGUUUUUUCUACAUCACACACGUCGUAUGUCUAGAAUGUAUUUGAUAACUUGUCGAUCAGGCUUGAUUGUCCUGGUCCCCAAGGUUCAAUAAAACCACUAUACAACUUUCAGCAAUGGAUCUCUUGGCUCUCGCAUCGAUGAAGAACGCAGCGAAUUGCGAUAAGUAAUGUGAAUUGCAGAUUUCCAGUGAAUCAUCGAAUCUUUGAACGCACCUUGCGCUCCUUGGUAUUCCGAGGAGCAUGCCUGUUUGAGUGUCAUUGAAUUUCUCAACCAUGCCUUUUGUGCAUGGCUUGGACUUGGGGGUUUGCUGGCAGCCAUCAGCUCUCCUGAAAUGCAUUAGCAAAGGAUGUGCUAGUCUCUGGACGUGCACGGCCUUCGACGUGAUAAUGAUCGUCGUGGCUGGAGCGUCCUCUUUCAGGGGACCAUGCAUAUGAAUUUGCUUCUAAUACAGCAGCUAGUUACUAGUCGGUCAUGAGCCUGGCGAACACAGCUGAGAACUUUUCGAACCGUUGACCUCAAAUCAGGUAGGACUACCCGCUGAACUUAAGCAUAUCAAUAAGCGGAGGAAAAGAAACUAACAAGGAUUCCCCUAGUAACUGCGAGUGAAGCGGGAUGAGCUCAAAUUUUGAAUCU
This 774-nucleotide ribosomal RNA is filed under the name Hemileccinum rubropunctum. RNAcentral describes it as "eukaryotic LSU rRNA". The stretch from base 244 to 398 matches the Rfam family "5.8S ribosomal RNA". Lineage: Eukaryota; Fungi; Basidiomycota; Agaricomycetes; Boletales; Boletaceae. The record is from RNAcentral.